Molecule: ribosomal RNA, 152 nt
Filed under: Anomobryum auratum
Lineage: Eukaryota; Viridiplantae; Streptophyta; Bryopsida; Bryales; Bryaceae
Description: 5.8S ribosomal RNA
Rfam family: 5.8S ribosomal RNA
About the family: 5.8S ribosomal RNA (5.8S rRNA) is a component of the large subunit of the eukaryotic ribosome.
Source: RNAcentral
ACUCUCAGCAACGGAUAUCUUGGCUCUUGCAACGAUGAAGAACGCAGCGAAAUGCGAUACGUAGUGUGAAUUGCAGAAUUCCGCGAAUCAUCGAGUUUUUGAACGCAAGUUGCGCCCGAGGCUUGUCCGAGGGCAUUUCCGCCAGAGCGUCA